GCGGGGAUAGUUCAGUUGGGAGAACGUCAGACUGAAGUCACACUUCAAUCUUGAAAUCUGAAGGUCGUGCGUUCGAUCCGCACUCACCGCA
Molecule: non-coding RNA, 91 nt
Organism: Hypoxylon sp. NC1633
Lineage: Eukaryota; Fungi; Ascomycota; Sordariomycetes; Xylariales; Hypoxylaceae
Source: the annotation of a GenBank genome assembly